AACGAACGCUGGCGGCAUGCCUAACACAUACAAGUCGAACGAGACCUUCGGGUCUAGUGGCGCACGGGUGCGUAACGCGUGGGAACCUGCCCUUAGGUUCGGAAUAACUCCCCGAAAGGGGUGCUAAUACCGGAUAAUGUCUUCGGACCAAAGAUUUAUCGCCUUUGGAUGGGCCCGCGUUGGAUUAGCUAGUUGGUAGGGUAAGAGCCUACCAAGGCGACGAUCCAUAGCUGGUCUGAGAGGAUGAUCAGCCACACUGGGACUGAGACACGGCCCAGACUCCUACGGGAGGCAGCAGUGGGGAAUAUUGGACAAUGGGCGAAAGCCUGAUCCAGCAAUGCCGCGUGAGUGAUGAAGGCCUUAGGGUUGUAAAGCUCUUUUACCCGGGAUGAUAAUGACAGUACCGGGAGAAUAAGCUCCGGCUAACUCCGUG
RNAcentral lists this ribosomal RNA (433 nucleotides) under uncultured bacterium. RNAcentral describes it as "partial 16S ribosomal RNA". It matches the Rfam family "Bacterial small subunit ribosomal RNA", at positions 29 to 507 of the family's 1533-position model. The record is from RNAcentral.